This 253-nucleotide ribosomal RNA is filed under the name uncultured bacterium. RNAcentral's name for it is "partial 16S ribosomal RNA". It matches the Rfam family "Bacterial small subunit ribosomal RNA", at positions 524 to 776 of the family's 1533-position model. The record is from RNAcentral.
UACAGAGGGUGCAAGCGUUAAUCGGAAUUACUGGGCGUAAAGCGUGCGUAGUCGGUUAUCUAAGUCGGAUGUGAAAUCCCUGGGCUUAACCUGGGAAUGGCGCUUGAAACUACGGGACUGGAGUAUGGCAGAGGGAGGUGGAAUUCCACGUGUAGCGGUGAAAUGCGUAGAGAUGUGGAGGAACACCGAUGGCGAAGGCAGCCUCCUGGGCCAAUACUGACGCUCAUGCACGAAAGCGUGGGGAGCAAACAGG